UCCGAUAAAGUGUGUUGCUGUUCCGUUUCAUAUUGUCGAUUUAUUCUGAUUUUCCUGGAUGCAUUCCUCCAUAGAUCAUUUAUCCUCGUCUGGAAGACGGUUGUCCCAACAUAUUUCGAUUAUUCCUCGUUAUUGCAUACCGAUAGCAGAAUACCGUCGGCCGUGACCCAUUUUACUCCUAGAACUCUAGUCUCGCUUGAUCACGUAGGAACGGCGUCUUGAUGCGCAUUAAAAUUCUCAUCACUGGUUGAUGUCUUUCCUAAGAUUCAUUGAAGCUUGGCGAUUUUUUUUGUUCUUGAUUCCUUGUUCAUGCAUUUUCCCUGGUUUUCUUAUGAUGUUCCAAGCAUAACUUCAUCAGUGCAAACCGAAUUACAUUUACUGUCAUUGCAAGCGUUCCUUCGAAAAUUCAUUAUUAUUGUUAGUACACCUGCACUCAAAUCUCCUCCUGCCUUCACCUACACGACGAUCACUACAGUGUUGUUUUUUCAGCUACUUUGCUUUUUCUCGCUGCUGUCUUCUCCGUCUUUCAUUUGCCCUUGCACUUCUCCCAGGGCAGGGAAGCAAACCGGUAUCUCAUCCAGUUUCUCUCCCCUCCUGCCUGAAGGUUAUCAUUCAAAACAUUCUUAAUCCUGACCACGAGGCGUCAAAUACUAGGCUUGCUUUUCUUGUUGGUCUUCUGGCAUUUGCUUGAUGCGACAUAGUAUUUAACAUUGAUCCUUCCGAUCGCGGUCUUUAUGCCAUUUCAAGCGUGAAACCUCUCGCAUUGAACAGCUGUACUUUUCUCUCGGUACUGAAUUUGUCUUCAGCUUUCGGGAUAGUAUUCCAGUUGCUACUACAUUGGUUUCCACGUUCACUUGCUCUCUAUCCUUCUGAACAGUCCUUGUGCAGGAUGUAACUGCAUGGUUCAAUUCAUGUAUCGUUUCUUUCUCAGGAAUUCGGGCAUUAUUGGCCAUAUUCAACUUUUUCUUAGCGUAAUUUUCGUCAGUUCUUCUGUCGUCAAAAACCAUAGUGGAUUUGAGUUUCAAAUUUCUUAUUCUAGACCACAUUUGUAAGGAAAAAUCCAUUCGAGAAUGCUUUCCAUUUUCCAUUCUAUCUUCGUUUCGUCUACGGUCUGCGCUCCAAAACAUUACUUCGGGCACGAGCAUCACCUGCGGCAGGAGCGACUGCAAUUCUACAUUCUCCAGUGGCGUCCUGCUGGUAGACUGGACUUGUCUCCUCGCCCUGCACCACUUCUGGCUCAGCACUCCUGCUUUCUAUUGCGGUCCACGAGGGUACCCAGCGCGCUCCUGCACGACUCUACGGUCUGCGCUCCAAAAGAUUUCUUCGGGCACGAGCAUCCCCUGUGACAGGAGUGACUGCUAGUCUACAUUCUCUUGCCAGUGGCGUCCUGCUGGCAGACUGGACUUAGCCUGGCGCGCUUGCACUUAAUUCUGGUUCCCAGUGUUUGCUGUCGCUUGUGGCGGGAGGGAAAUGUUACAGCACGAUCAUUCGCAAGACUCCUGGCCUUACCUCAAGAGCGACUAUCUUCAGCCCGAUCGUCCUGCCCCAGAAUCCAUACAGCACGCUUCCUCAUACUCGUGAAGGCGUCGCACGCCUGUCUUGGCGGUGUCCUGCACUGUGCUAACGACGUGUUCAUGUUCUCAAGGACUGCGUCUCGUCGCCGUCCCGCGACCGUCCAUCGGAUGUGCUCCUACAGUUCUUCGAUGUUGCCUUUUUCCGCAGGCAUAUGUAACAGAUUUAGUGUGGCAAGCUUUUCUGCUUUGGAAGAGUGGUACGCUGCUCAGCGAAUAGAUGGUGCUUCUAGGAAUCGGGUUAAUACGAAGCAGAGCAGUAAAAAGGUCUGGUUACAUGGACACCACUCAGUCAGUAAUAAGGAUUGUCGAUGUAUUAAUGAGCCGAUCUGCAAAUUUUUGGUGGCGAGAGUAAUGGACAUUCAUUCACAUUGUGCACUUUCGUAGUGUGUGUGUGUGUGUGUGUGUGUGUGUGUGUGUGUGUGUGUGUGUGUGUGUGUGUGUGUGCGC
RNAcentral lists this long non-coding RNA (2021 nucleotides) under Dermacentor andersoni. Its description in RNAcentral is "uncharacterized LOC126527148". The record is from RNAcentral. Lineage: Eukaryota; Metazoa; Arthropoda; Arachnida; Ixodida; Ixodidae.